UUGACCUCAAAUCAGGUAGGACUACCCGCUGAACUUAAGCAUAUCAAUAAGCGGAGGAAAAGAAACUAACAAGGAUUCCCCUAGUAACUGCGAGUGAAGCGGGAAAAGCUCAAAUUUAAAAUCUGGCAGCUUUUUUACAGUUGUCCGAGUUGUAAUCUAGAGAAGUGCUUUCCGCGCUGGACCGUGUACAAGUCUCUUGGAAUAGAGCAUCAUAGAGGGUGAGAAUCCCGUCUUUGACACGGACUACCAGUGCUUUAUGUGAUGCGCUCUCAAAGAGUCGA
This 281-nucleotide ribosomal RNA is filed under the name Hygrophorus hypothejus. RNAcentral's name for it is "partial 28S ribosomal RNA". It matches the Rfam family "Eukaryotic large subunit ribosomal RNA", at positions 1 to 268 of the family's 3401-position model. The record is from RNAcentral. Lineage: Eukaryota; Fungi; Basidiomycota; Agaricomycetes; Agaricales; Hygrophoraceae.